Molecule: ribosomal RNA, 253 nt
Filed under: uncultured bacterium
Lineage: Bacteria
Description: partial 16S ribosomal RNA
Rfam family: Bacterial small subunit ribosomal RNA
Source: RNAcentral
UACGUAGGUGGCAAGCGUUGUCCGAAUUUAUUGGGUUUAAAGGGUGCGUAGGCGGCCCUGUAAGUCAGUGCUGAAAUAUCCCAGCUUAACUGGGAGGGUGGCAUUGAUACUGCGGGGCUAGAGUACGGAUGAGGUAGGCGGAAUUGACGGUGUAGCGGUGAAAUGCUUAGAUAUCGUCAAGAACACCUAUAGCGAAGGCAGCUUACUAGGCUGUAACUGACGCUGAGGCACGAAAGUGUGGGGAUCAAACAGG